CCUGUAAAAAACAAUAGAAGAUGACUCAAUUCCUAGCCAAGAAGAUGCAAGUUCACCUUCAACAACAUUUGCAACGUGAAAUGCUUGACAACCCAAGACUAGUUAAAUUAUUGUAAGUUUGCCACACCAUUUUGUUAUACAUCCUUCAUUUUUUGGUAUGUAGGGAAGUAAGACAAAAUGAACAAAAGAAAAAGAGACAACAAAAGAAAGACAAAAUGGAGGCGGGAUGCUCCAAACCAUUUCAGCAUCCAGACUACUUCUAACUCGGCCAGGAAAUCAGCACUAUAAUAUGCUUCAUGCGGAAUAUGGAUCUCAUAGCACACCAUUCAGGGUAUAAAUUCCAAAUAGCAGUCAACAAGCUACAUUUCCUAUAGUAAAGAAGUUACUAGAGCAAGGCACAUUCAGGUAUUACUUUGCAAACACACCCUAUGGUAAAGUCCAUAGAACAUACUUUGGUAACAGGAAUAACAAGAAACAACAGAGCAAGAAAGCAUGAAUAAAAAAGAAGAAAUUGGAAAUUCUCCCAACUGAGGAAGGUUCACCAAGACAUCACUUUGUUGGAAUACAAAUUAUGUCAACCUUUGCUGGAGUAAAAAGAGAUAGGUCUUACCUGUGAUCUGAAUUUUGUCUCCAGGCUUUGAAUUACACAAAAAAUUGCUACAUAUGCCAUUCUUGGAAGGAUCUUCCUUUCCUGUCUCAGGAUCAUAAUAAACAGCACGACGCACACACAAGCUGGCAGUUUUUCCAUCAAAAAAGUCUCCAUACCUUGUAGAAGCAAUUGAAUAUAGUCGAACAUUAUGAGGAGCCCCAGGUUUCUUUGGAUUUUCACCCUGCAACCCAUGUAAAGUAGUAUUUACAAGUUGUGAAAUCAUUUCAGAAUUUUAACUGUGUUAACUCCUGCAUCUGAUCCCACAAAAAAAAAAAAAAGAGGAAAAAUACUUUCUACGUGAAUUAAUAAGCUCGAAAG
Molecule: long non-coding RNA, 967 nt
Organism: Glycine soja
Lineage: Eukaryota; Viridiplantae; Streptophyta; Magnoliopsida; Fabales; Fabaceae
Exons: 2
Source: RefSeq, a predicted model, not a curated record